GGAUGUGAGGGCGAUCUGGCUGCGACAUCUGUCACCCCAUUGAUCGCCAGGGUUGAUUCGGCUGAUCUGGCUGGCUAGGCGGGUGUCCCCUUCCUCCCUCACAGCUCCAUGUGCGUCCCUCCCGAAGCUGCGCGCUCGGUCGAAGAGGACAACCUUCCCCGAUAGAGGAGGACUGUUCUUCCGUCAAGGGUAUACGAGUAGCUGCGCUCCCCUGCUAGAACCUCCAAAAAAAAAAAAAAAAAAAAAAAAAAAAAACUCCUGCAUUACUUUCCUACUGCUGCUGUAACAAAUUACCAGAACUUUGUA
Molecule: small nuclear RNA, 306 nt
Filed under: Ursus maritimus (polar bear)
Lineage: Eukaryota; Metazoa; Chordata; Mammalia; Carnivora; Ursidae
Description: 7SK RNA (ENSUMAG00000007974.1)
Rfam family: 7SK RNA
About the family: 7SK was discovered as an abundant small nuclear RNA in the mid-70s but a possible function has only recently been suggested. Two independent studies have found that 7SK RNA binds the CDK9/cyclin T complex (known as elongation factor P-TEFb). P-TEFb activates transcription by phosphorylating the C-terminal domain of RNA polymerase II.
Source: Rfam by way of RNAcentral